CUCGUCAAAUAACAGCUCACUUGAAAUGUGCGCUCUUAUUUUGUUUAGUUCACUUCAAACACAGCCAAUGUCAACCCGUCUCACAAUACCGCAGUAUGUAUUUAAAAGUUGCAAAAAUUAGGCCCGAAAAAGCAAUUUAACGGCCGGAGUAUCUUACUUUCGCUUUCCUAGCAAUCACGUGUGCAGAAUGGAUCUCGAUUGUCGCCAGAGAAACAAGAGAUGACUUUUAUAAGCCAGCUAAGAUCUCCGCUUAUUGACACUGGACAUCUUUGCCUUCCGUGCUCACGGCUACUGAAACGUGGCCGAAACAUUGUAAUAAAAAUACCGCGCUUGAAACCGUUUAAACGUUGUUUUAUUAUGUGCACUGGUCGCGAAAACUUAAAAAUAUAUAUUACACAAAAACGUAACGCUAAUAAAAUAAUAAGAAAUGUAUAGAUACUAACAAACAUACAUUUCCAAAACAUAAAAAGUAAACAACUAAACUUUUACUUUAAUUCAUUAAUAAAUUAUUUUAGUGUUCAGCGCGACUCCCUUACUUCCUGUAGUAAAUAGAAAUCGGCAUUUUAAAAAGCAAAAAUAAAUAAAGCAAAACGAUGUUAGUUCUCAGAGCAAUUAAGGGAAAAGUUACUUUAUUUGUUGCCGUUUAAGAUUGAUUUAACAUUAAAAAUUGUUUAAAA
Bombyx mori (domestic silkworm) is the source of this 677-nucleotide long non-coding RNA. RefSeq lists it as uncharacterized. The transcript is spliced from 2 exons. The record is from RefSeq and is a predicted model, not a curated record. NCBI's taxonomy places the organism in Eukaryota, Metazoa, Arthropoda, Insecta, Lepidoptera, Bombycidae.